This 522-nucleotide ribosomal RNA is filed under the name uncultured bacterium. Its description in RNAcentral is "bacterial SSU rRNA". It matches the Rfam family "Bacterial small subunit ribosomal RNA", at positions 24 to 518 of the family's 1533-position model. The record is from RNAcentral.
UCAGGACGAACGCUGGCGGCGUGCCUAAUACAUGCAAGUCGAACGGUCUUUCUAUGGAAGCUUGCUUCACUGAGAAGAUAGUGGCGAACGGGUGAGUAACACGUGGGUAACCUGCCCAUAAGAGGGGGAUAACGAUCCGGAAACGGGUGCUAAUACCGCAUAGUUUUCUUGAUCGCAUGAUCGGGAAAGGAAAGACGGCCUUUGUGCUGUCGCUUAUGGAUGGACCCGCGGCGUAUUAGUUAGUUGGUGAGGUAACGGCUCACCAAGACGAUGAUACGUAGCCGACCUGAGAGGGUGAUCGGCCACAUUGGGACUGAGACACGGCCCAAACUCCUACGGGAGGCAGCAGUAGGGAAUCUUCCGCAAUGGACGAAAGUCUGACGGAGCAACGCCGCGUGAGUGAAGAAGGUUUUUCCGGAUCGUAAAACUCUGUUGUCAGAGAAGAACAAGUUGGAGAGUAACUGCUCCAGCCUUGACGGUAUCUGACCAGAAAGCCACGGCUAACUACGUGCCAGCAGCCGC